Molecule: ribosomal RNA, 424 nt
Filed under: uncultured marine eukaryote
Lineage: Eukaryota
Description: SSU rRNA
Rfam family: Eukaryotic small subunit ribosomal RNA
Source: RNAcentral
GGUUGAUCCUGCCAGUAGUCAUAUGCUUGUCUUAAAGAUUAAGCCAUGCAUGUCUAAGUAUAAGCAUUUAUACCGCGAGAGUGCGAACGGCUCAUUAAAACAGUUAUGGUUUAUUUGAUGGUUCCUUUGCUACUUGGAUAACCGUAGUAAUUCUAGAGAUAAUACAUGCACGAAGGGGCGACUUAAGAAGCCCUGUAUUUAUUAGAUUAAACCCAACCCCCUCCGGGUGUUCGUGGUGAAUCAUAGUAACUAAUCGGAUCGCCGGCUUUACGCCAGCGACGUGUCAUUCAAAUUUCUGCCCUAUCAGCUUUAGAUGGUAGGAUAUGGGCCUACCAUGGCGGUGACGGGUAACGGAAAUUUGGGUUUGAUUCCGGGAGAGGGAGCCUGAGAAACGGCUACCACUUAUAAGGAAGGCAGCAGGCGC